This 467-nucleotide ribosomal RNA is filed under the name uncultured bacterium. Its description in RNAcentral is "partial 16S ribosomal RNA". It matches the Rfam family "Bacterial small subunit ribosomal RNA", at positions 28 to 506 of the family's 1533-position model. The record is from RNAcentral.
GACGAACGCUGGCGGCGUGCUUAACACAUGCAAGUCGAACGGAAAGGCCCUGCUUUUGUGGGGUGCUCGAGUGGCGAACGGGUGAGUAACACGUGAGUAACCUGCCCUUGACUUUGGGAUAACUUCAGGAAACUGGGGCUAAUACCGGAUAGGAGCUCCUGCUGCAUGGUGGGGGUUGGAAAGUUUCGGCGGUUGGGGAUGGACUCGCGGCUUAUCAGCUUGUUGGUGGGGUAGUGGCUUACCAAGGCUUUGACGGGUAGCCGACCUGAGAGGGUGACCGGCCACAUUGGGACUGUGAUACGGCCCAGACUCCUACGGGAGGCAACAGUGGGGAAUAUUGCACAAUGGGCGGAAGCCUGAUGCAGCAACGCCGCGUGCGGGAUGACGGCCUUCGGGUUGUAAACCGCUUUCGCCUGUGACGAAGCGUGAGUGACGGUAAUGGGUAAAGAAGCACCGGCUAACUACGU